This 549-nucleotide ribosomal RNA is filed under the name uncultured Carnobacteriaceae bacterium. RNAcentral's name for it is "bacterial SSU rRNA". It matches the Rfam family "Bacterial small subunit ribosomal RNA", at positions 77 to 610 of the family's 1533-position model. The record is from RNAcentral. Lineage: Bacteria; Bacillati; Bacillota; Bacilli; Lactobacillales; Carnobacteriaceae.
GCUUCCACUGAGAAGAUAGUGGCGGACGGGUGAGUAACACGUGGGUAACCUGCCCAUAAGAGGGGGAUAACAUCCGGAAACGGGUGCUAAUACCGCAUAGUUUUCUUGAUCGCAUGAUCGAGAAAGGAAAGACGGCCUUUGUGCUGUCGCUUAUGGAUGGACCCGCGGCGUAUUAGUUAGUUGGUGAGGUAACGGCUCACCAAGACGAUGAUACGUAGCCGACCUGAGAGGGUGAUCGGCCACAUUGGGACUGAGACACGGCCCAAACUCCUACGGGAGGCAGCAGUAGGGAAUCUUCCGCAAUGGACGAAAGUCUGACGGAGCAACGCCGCGUGAGUGAAGAAGGUUUUCGGAUCGUAAAACUCUGUUGUCAGAGAAGAACAAGUCGGAGAGUAACUGCUCCGGCCUUGACGGUAUCUGACCAGAAAGCCACGGCUAACUACGUGCCAGCAGCCGCGGUAAUACGUAGGUGGCAAGCGUUGUCCGGAUUUAUUGGGCGUAAAGCGAGCGCAGGCGGUUCCUUAAGUCUGAUGUGAAAGCCCACGGCUC